GAUGAACGCUGGCGGCGUGCCUAAUACAUGCAAGUCGAGCGAACAGACGAGGAGCUUGCUCCUCUGACGUUAGCGGCGGACGGGUGAGUAACACGUGGAUAACCUACCUAUAAGACUGGGAUAACUUCGGGAAACCGGAGCUAAUACCGGAUAAUAUAUUGAACCGCAUGGUUCAAUAGUGAAAGACGGUUUUGCUGUCACUUAUAGAUGGAUCCGCGCCGCAUUAGCUAGUUGGUAAGGUAACGGGUUACCAAGGCAACGAUGCGUAGCCGACCUGAGAGGGGGAUCGGCCACACUGGAACUGAGACACGGUCCAGACUCCUACGGGAGGCAGCAGUAGGGAAUCUUCCGCAAUGGGCGAAAGCCUGACGGAGCAACGCCGCGUGAGUGAUGAAGGUCUUCGGAUCGUAAAACUCUGUUAUUAGGGAAGAACAAAUGUGUAAGUAACUAUGCACGUCUUGACGGUACCUAAUCAGAAAGCCACGGCUAACUACGUG
RNAcentral lists this ribosomal RNA (497 nucleotides) under uncultured bacterium. Its description in RNAcentral is "partial 16S ribosomal RNA". It matches the Rfam family "Bacterial small subunit ribosomal RNA", at positions 28 to 507 of the family's 1533-position model. The record is from RNAcentral.